GACGAACCGUGCGAACGUUGUUCGGAAUCACUGGGCUUAAAGGGCGCGUAGGCGGACUGCCAAGUCGGGGGUGAAAUCUUUCGGCCCAACCGGAAAAGGGCCUCCGAUACUGGCAGCCUCGAGGGAGGUAGGGGCCGACGGAACUUCCGGUGGAGCGGUGAAAUGCGUAGAUAUCGGAAGGAACGCCGGUGGCGAAAGCGGUCGGCUGGA
Molecule: ribosomal RNA, 210 nt
Filed under: uncultured prokaryote
Description: partial 16S ribosomal RNA
Rfam family: Bacterial small subunit ribosomal RNA
Source: RNAcentral